GACGUUAGCAACAGAAGAAGCACCGGCUAACUCCGUGCCAGCAGCCGCGGUAAUACGGAGGGUGCGAGCGUUAAUCGGAAUUACGUGGGACGUAAAAGCGCAUGCAGGUUGGUUUGUUAAGUCAGAUGUAGAAAAGCCCGGGCUCAAACCUCGGAAACUGCAUUUGAAAAACUGGCAGACUAGAGUACUGUAGGAGGGGGUAGAAUUUCAGGUGUAGCGGUGAAAAUGCGUAGAGAUCUGAAGGAAUACCGGUGGCGAAGGCCGGCCCCUGGACAGAUACUGACACUCAGAUGACGAAAGCGUGGGGAGCAAACAGGAUUAGAUACCCUGGUAG
This 334-nucleotide ribosomal RNA is filed under the name uncultured bacterium. RNAcentral describes it as "bacterial SSU rRNA". It matches the Rfam family "Bacterial small subunit ribosomal RNA", at positions 471 to 793 of the family's 1533-position model. The record is from RNAcentral.